UACAGAGGGUGCGAGCGUUAAUCGGAAUCACUGGGCGUAAAGGGCGCGUAGGCGGUCGCAUGUGUGUGAUGUGAAAGCCCCGGGCUUAACCUGGGAAGAGCAUCGCAAACUAUGAAACUGGAGUAUAUGAGAGGGUGGCGGAAUUUCCGGUGUAGCGGUGAAAUGCGUAGAGAUCGGAAGGAACGUCGAUGGCGAAGGCAGCCACCUGGCAUAAUACUGACGCUGAGGCGCGAAAGCGUGGGGAGCGAACAGG
RNAcentral lists this ribosomal RNA (253 nucleotides) under uncultured bacterium. RNAcentral's name for it is "partial 16S ribosomal RNA". It matches the Rfam family "Bacterial small subunit ribosomal RNA", at positions 524 to 776 of the family's 1533-position model. The record is from RNAcentral.